GUGAGUAGACUGUAGCCCUGGUC
This 23-nucleotide non-coding RNA is filed under the name Cricetulus griseus (Chinese hamster). Lineage: Eukaryota; Metazoa; Chordata; Mammalia; Rodentia; Cricetidae. The record is from RNAcentral.